GGGGCUGUAGCUCAGGGGUUAGAGCAGUCGGCUCAUAACCGAUUGGUCGCUGGUUCGAACCCAGCCAGCCCCACCA
This 76-nucleotide transfer RNA is filed under the name Candidatus Saccharimonadota bacterium. RNAcentral's name for it is "Candidatus Saccharibacteria bacterium tRNA-Met". It matches the Rfam family "tRNA". Rfam says of the family: Transfer RNA (tRNA) molecules are approximately 80 nucleotides in length. Their secondary structure includes four short double-helical elements and three loops (D, anti-codon, and T loops). Further hydrogen bonds mediate the characteristic L-shaped molecular structure. tRNAs have two regions of fundamental functional importance: the anti-codon, which is responsible for specific mRNA codon recognition, and the 3' end, to which the tRNAs corresponding amino acid is attached (by aminoacyl-tRNA synthetases). tRNAs cope with the degeneracy of the genetic code in two manners: having more than one tRNA (with a specific anti-codon) for a particular amino acid; and 'wobble' base-pairing, i.e. permitting non-standard base-pairing at the 3rd anti-codon position. Lineage: Bacteria; Candidatus Saccharimonadota. The record is from RNAcentral.